Molecule: ribosomal RNA, 252 nt
Filed under: uncultured bacterium
Lineage: Bacteria
Description: partial 16S ribosomal RNA
Rfam family: Bacterial small subunit ribosomal RNA
Source: RNAcentral
UACGGAGGAUGCGAGCGUUAUCCGGAUUUAUUGGGUUUAAAGGGUGCAUAGGCGGAUUUUUAAGUCAGCGGUAAAAUGUCCGGGCUCAACCCGGGCCGGCCGUUGAAACUGGGGAUCUUGAGUGGGCGAGAAGUAUGCGGAAUGCGUGGUGUAGCGGUGAAAUGCAUAGAUAUCACGCAGAACUCCGAUUGCGAAGGCAGCAUACCGGCGCCCGACUGACGCUGAGGCACGAAAGCGUGGGGAUCGAACAGG